UGGGGAAUAUUGCACAAUGGGCGCAAGCCUGAUGCAGCCAUGCCGCGUGUAUGAAGAAGGCCUUCGGGUUGUAAAGUACUUUCAGCGGGGAGGAAGGUGUUGAGGUUAAUAACCUCAGCAAUUGACGUUACCCGCAGAAGAAGCACCGGCUAACUCCGUGCCAGCAGCCGCGGUAAUACGGAGGGUGCAAGCGUUAAUCGGAGUUACUGGGCGUAAAGCGCACGCAGGCGGUCUGUCAAGUCGGAUGUGAAAUCCCCGGGCUCAACCUGGGAACUGCAUUCGAAACUGGCAGGCUAGAGUCUUGUAGAGGGGGGUAGAAUUCCAGGUGUAGCGGUGAAAUGCGUAGAGAUCUGGAGGAAUACCGGUGGCGAAGGCGGCCCCCUGGACAAAGACUGACGCUCAGGUGCGAAAGCGUGGGGAGCAAACA
RNAcentral lists this ribosomal RNA (427 nucleotides) under uncultured bacterium. Its description in RNAcentral is "partial 16S ribosomal RNA". It matches the Rfam family "Bacterial small subunit ribosomal RNA", at positions 355 to 774 of the family's 1533-position model. The record is from RNAcentral.